UCUUCCCAUAAUACCACCCUGAAUGCACCUGAUCUUGAAAGCUAAGCAAAGUCCGGCCUGGUUAGUACUUGGAUGGGAAAGC
RNAcentral lists this ribosomal RNA (82 nucleotides) under Jaculus jaculus (lesser Egyptian jerboa). The record is from RNAcentral. Lineage: Eukaryota; Metazoa; Chordata; Mammalia; Rodentia; Dipodidae.